GACAGAGGGUGCAAACGUUGUUCGGAAUUACUGGGCGUAAAGCGUGUGUAGGCGGUCUCAUAAGUCGGGUGUGAAAGCCCCGGGCUCAACCCGGGAAGUGCACUCGAAACUGCGAGGCUAGAGUACUGGAGAGGUUGGUGGAAUUCUCGGUGUAGAGGUGAAAUGCGUAGAUAUCGUAAGGAAGACCAGUGGCGAAGGCGGGUCUCUGGACAGUUCCUGACGCUGAGGCACGAAGGCUAGGGGAGCAAACGGG
This 253-nucleotide ribosomal RNA is filed under the name uncultured bacterium. RNAcentral describes it as "partial 16S ribosomal RNA". It matches the Rfam family "Bacterial small subunit ribosomal RNA", at positions 524 to 776 of the family's 1533-position model. The record is from RNAcentral.